GGGGAUGUAGUUUAGCCGGUAAAAUGUUUGACUUGCACUCAGAAGAAACGAGUUCAAUUCUCGUCGUCUCCA
Molecule: transfer RNA, 72 nt
Filed under: bacterium
Lineage: Bacteria
Description: tRNA-Ala
Rfam family: tRNA
About the family: Transfer RNA (tRNA) molecules are approximately 80 nucleotides in length.
Source: RNAcentral